RNAcentral lists this transfer RNA (68 nucleotides) under Cambaroides dauricus. RNAcentral describes it as "tRNA-Val". Lineage: Eukaryota; Metazoa; Arthropoda; Malacostraca; Decapoda; Cambaridae. The record is from RNAcentral. RNAcentral also lists the same sequence under 1 other name.
CAAAAUAAAGCUAAAAUUAGCGUUUCGUUUACACCGAAAAGGUUAUCGUUUAACUCGAUUUAUUUUGA